RNAcentral lists this ribosomal RNA (578 nucleotides) under Nocardioides sp. HRRK168. RNAcentral's name for it is "bacterial SSU rRNA". It matches the Rfam family "Bacterial small subunit ribosomal RNA", at positions 102 to 694 of the family's 1533-position model. The record is from RNAcentral. Lineage: Bacteria; Bacillati; Actinomycetota; Actinomycetes; Propionibacteriales; Nocardioidaceae.
ACGGGUGAGUAACACGUGAGUAAUCUGCCCCAGGCUCUGGGAUAGCCACCGGAAACGGUGAUUAAUACCGGAUACGACAACCGAUUGCAUGAUCUGGUUGUGGAAAGUUUUUCGGCCUGGGAUGUGCUCGCGGCCUAUCAGCUUGUUGGUGAGGUAAUGGCUCACCAAGGCUUCGACGGGUAGCCGGCCUGAGAGGGUGACCGGCCACACUGGGACUGAGACACGGCCCAGACUCCUACGGGAGGCAGCAGUGGGGAAUAUUGGACAAUGGGCGGAAGCCUGAUCCAGCAACGCCGCGUGAGGGAUGACGGCCUUCGGGUUGUAAACCUCUUUCAGCACAGACGAAGCGCAAGUGACGGUAUGUGCAGAAGAAGGACCGGCCAACUACGUGCCAGCAGCCGCGGUAAUACGUAGGGUCCGAGCGUUGUCCGGAAUUAUUGGGCGUAAAGGGCUCGUAGGCGGUCUGUCGCGUCGGGAGUGAAAACCAGGUGCUUAACACCUGGCCUGCUUCCGAUACGGGCAGACUAGAGGUACUCAGGGGAGAAUGGAAUUCCUGGUGUAGCGGUGAAAUGCGCAGA